Molecule: non-coding RNA, 83 nt
Organism: Sinocyclocheilus rhinocerous
Lineage: Eukaryota; Metazoa; Chordata; Actinopteri; Cypriniformes; Cyprinidae
Source: the annotation of a RefSeq genome assembly
GGCUAGCGUGGCAGAGUGGUCUAAUGCGCUGGAUUUAGAUUCCAGUUUCUGCGGAGGCGUGGGUUCAAAUCCCACCACUGCCA